This 375-nucleotide ribosomal RNA is filed under the name uncultured organism. Its description in RNAcentral is "partial 16S ribosomal RNA". It matches the Rfam family "Bacterial small subunit ribosomal RNA", at positions 527 to 896 of the family's 1533-position model. The record is from RNAcentral.
GUAGGAGGCGAGCGUUAUCCGGAUUUACUGGGCGUAAAGGGCGUCUAGGCGGUGUCCUAAGUUGGGCGUGAAAUCUCCCGGCUCAACCGGGAGGCGCCGUCCAAUACUGAGACACUUGAGGGCAGGAGAGGAAAGUGGAAUUCCCGGUGUAGUGGUGGAAUACUUAGAUAUCGGGAGGAACACCAGUGGCGAAGGCGACUUUCUGGCCUGCACCUGACGCUAAAGCGCGAAAGCGUGGGUAGCGAACGGGAUUAGAUACCCCGGGUAGUCCACGCCGUAAACGAUGGAUACUAGGUGUUGGUGGUCAUUGUCCCCCCAUCAGUGCCGCAGUUAACGCGUUAAGUAUCCCGCCUGGGGACUACGGCCGCAAGGCUA